UGGGGAAUAUUGGACAAUGGGCGAAAGCCUGAUCCAGCCAUGCCGCGUGUGUGAAGAAGGUCUUCGGAUUGUAAAGCACUUUAAGUUGGGAGGAAGGGCAGUAAGCGAAUACCUUGCUGUUUUGACGUUACCGACAGAAUAAGCACCGGCUAACUCUGUGCCAGCAGCCGCGGUAAUACAGAGGGUGCAAGCGUUAAUCGGAAUUACUGGGCGUAAAGCGCGCGUAGGUGGUUCGUUAAGUUGAAUGUGAAAGCCCCGGGCUCAACCUGGGAACUGCAUCCAAAACUGGCGAGCUAGAGUAGGGCAGAGGGUGGUAGAAUUUCCUGUGUAGCGGUGAAAUGCGUAGAUAUAGGAAGGAACACAAGUGGCGAAGGCGACCACCUGGGCUCAUACUGACACUGAGGUGCGAAAGCGUGGGGAGCAAACAGG
This 429-nucleotide ribosomal RNA is filed under the name Pseudomonadota bacterium. RNAcentral describes it as "Proteobacteria bacterium partial 16S ribosomal RNA". It matches the Rfam family "Bacterial small subunit ribosomal RNA", at positions 355 to 776 of the family's 1533-position model. Lineage: Bacteria; Pseudomonadati; Pseudomonadota. The record is from RNAcentral.